GCUUCUUCAGGCAUUUCCAUCAAUUAAAAACUUCAGUCAACUCAUGCGUGUGAAACAGAGGGAAAAGUCUUGCCUAAUAAAAGAACUACUUAGUACUGAAUUUCCAAGCUUAUUCAAGUUCACUUUUAUGAGUACAUCAAUCUCUGCAGUCUGAGGCAACUCAGGAGGAGUAAUGGAGGUUGCUCCUGUAGAUCCUUUGGAUCCUUCUCUCCCACACUCAGCUCUUUACCAGGAAAGCAGUCUCUCUUCUAAAGGCAACUGGGAGAGAACAAGGACAGAGAGGUGUUCAGUAGCACAGGAGCUGCAUUUGUGUUUUAAGUUCUGAGUCAAUCAAGGAAAAAAGUGGAAGGAAAAGAAACAUGUAAGUAUGGAGAAUGGAUAGUAUAGCAUACGUAGUAUACACAUCGUAUAAGGCUACGUAACUAGUAGUUUAUGCAUAAAGCACAUAGUGCAGCUAUCCAUAACUCUUGAGAAAACAAGGUAUACUUAGCUACU
RNAcentral lists this long non-coding RNA (495 nucleotides) under Anas platyrhynchos platyrhynchos (common mallard). RNAcentral describes it as "lncRNA (ENSAPLG00000027643.1)". Lineage: Eukaryota; Metazoa; Chordata; Aves; Anseriformes; Anatidae. The record is from RNAcentral.